AUCCAGCAAUGCCGCGUGUGUGAAGAAGGCCUUCGGGUUGUAAAGCACUUUUGUCCGGAAAGAAAACUUCUGCCCUAAUACGGCGGGAGGAUGACGGUACCGGAAGAAUAAGCACCGGCUAACUACGUGCCAGCAGCCGCGGUAAUACGUAGGGUGCAAGCGUUAAUCGGAAUUACUGGGCGUAAAGCGUGCGCAGGCGGUUCGCUAAGACAGAUGUGAAAUCCCCGGGCUUAACCUGGGAACUGCAUUUGUGACUGGCGGGCUAGAGUAUGGCAGAGGGGGGUAGAAUUCCACGUGUAGCAGUGAAAUGCGUAGAGAUGUGGAGGAAUACCGAUGGCGAAGGCAGCCCCCUGGGCCAAUACUGACGCUCAUGCACGAAAGCGUGGGGAGCAAACAGGAUUAGAUACCCUG
Molecule: ribosomal RNA, 411 nt
Filed under: Paraburkholderia bryophila
Lineage: Bacteria; Pseudomonadati; Pseudomonadota; Betaproteobacteria; Burkholderiales; Burkholderiaceae
Description: bacterial SSU rRNA
Rfam family: Bacterial small subunit ribosomal RNA
Source: RNAcentral